This 75-nucleotide transfer RNA is filed under the name Emticicia agri. Its description in RNAcentral is "Emticicia sp. 17J42-9 tRNA-Arg". It matches the Rfam family "tRNA". From Rfam's summary of the family: Transfer RNA (tRNA) molecules are approximately 80 nucleotides in length. Their secondary structure includes four short double-helical elements and three loops (D, anti-codon, and T loops). Lineage: Bacteria; Pseudomonadati; Bacteroidota; Cytophagia; Cytophagales; Leadbetterellaceae. The record is from RNAcentral.
UGUCGGGUCGUUCAAUUGGAAGGACAUAACGAUACGAACGUUAAGACCAAGGUUCGACUCCUUGUCCGGCAUCAA